GUGGGGAAUAUUGCACAAUGGGGGGAACCCUGAUGCAGCGACGCCGCGUGAGUGAAGAAGUAUUUCGGUAUGUAAAGCUCUAUCAGCAGGGAAGAUAAUGACGGUACCUGACUAAGAAGCCCCGGCUAACUACGUGCCAGCAGCCGCGGUAAUACGUAGGGGGCAAGCGUUAUCCGGAUUUACUGGGUGUAAAGGGUGCGUAGGUGGCAGGGCAAGUCAGAUGUGAAAGCCCGGGGCCCAACCCCGGUACUGCAUUUGAAACUGUCCGGCUGGAGUGCAGGAGAGGUAAGCGGAAUUCCUAGUGUAGCGGUGAAAUGCGUAGAUAUUAGGAGGAACACCAGUGGCGAAGGCGGCUUACUGGACUGUAACUGACACUGAGGCACGAAAGCGUGGGGAGCAAACAGGAUUAGAAACCCUUGUAGUCC
This 425-nucleotide ribosomal RNA is filed under the name uncultured Lachnospiraceae bacterium. RNAcentral describes it as "bacterial SSU rRNA". It matches the Rfam family "Bacterial small subunit ribosomal RNA", at positions 354 to 796 of the family's 1533-position model. Lineage: Bacteria; Bacillati; Bacillota; Clostridia; Lachnospirales; Lachnospiraceae. The record is from RNAcentral.